Molecule: ribosomal RNA, 409 nt
Filed under: uncultured beta proteobacterium
Lineage: Bacteria; Pseudomonadati; Pseudomonadota; Betaproteobacteria
Description: bacterial SSU rRNA
Rfam family: Bacterial small subunit ribosomal RNA
Source: RNAcentral
GAGUUUGAUCCUGGCUCAGAUUGAACGCUGGCGGCAUGCUUUACACAUGCAAGUCGAACGGCAGCGCGGGGCAACCUGGCGGCGAGUGGCGAACGGGUGAGUAAUACAUCGGAACGUACCCAGAAGUGGGGGAUAACGUAGCGAAAGUUACGCUAAUACCGCAUACGUUCUACGGAAGAAAGUGGGGGACCUUCGGGCCUCAUGCUUUUGGAGCGGCCGAUGUCUGAUUAGCUAGUUGGUGAGGUAAAGGCUCACCAAGGCGACGAUCAGUAGCUGGUCUGAGAGGACGACCAGCCACACUGGGACUGAGACACGGCCCAGACUCCUACGGGAGGCAGCAGUGGGGAAUUUUGGACAAUGGGCGCAAGCCUGAUCCAGCAAUGCCGCGUGAGUGAAGAAGGCCUCGGUU